This 253-nucleotide ribosomal RNA is filed under the name uncultured bacterium. Its description in RNAcentral is "partial 16S ribosomal RNA". It matches the Rfam family "Bacterial small subunit ribosomal RNA", at positions 524 to 776 of the family's 1533-position model. The record is from RNAcentral.
UACGUAGGGGGCUAGCGUUGUCCGGAAUCAUUGGGCGUAAAGAGCAUGUAGGCGGCCCGGUAAGUCCGCUGUAAAAGUCAAAGGCUCAACCUUUGAAUGUCAGUGGAUACUGCCGGGCUAGAGUCCGGAAGAGGCGAGUGGAACUCCUGGUGUAGCGGUGGAAUGCGCAGAUAUCAGGAAGAACACCAACGGCGAAGGCAGCUCGCUGGGACGGUACUGACGCUGAGACGCGAAAGCGUGGGGAGCGAACAGG